UACGUAGGGUGCAAGCGUUGUCCGGAAUUAUUGGGCGUAAAGAGCUCGUAGGCGGUCUGUUGCGUCGGCUGUGGAAACCCGAGGCUCAACCUCGGGCCUGCAGCCGAUACGGGCAGACUAGAGUUCGGCAGGGGAGACUGGAAUUCCUGGUGUAGCGGUGAAAUGCGCAGAUAUCAGGAGGAACACCGGUGGCGAAGGCGGGUCUCUGGGGCCGAUAACUGACGCU
RNAcentral lists this ribosomal RNA (226 nucleotides) under uncultured bacterium. RNAcentral's name for it is "partial 16S ribosomal RNA". It matches the Rfam family "Bacterial small subunit ribosomal RNA", at positions 524 to 747 of the family's 1533-position model. The record is from RNAcentral.